RNAcentral lists this transfer RNA (73 nucleotides) under Cordylochernes scorpioides. RNAcentral's name for it is "tRNA-Thr". The record is from RNAcentral. Lineage: Eukaryota; Metazoa; Arthropoda; Arachnida; Pseudoscorpiones; Chernetidae.
GUCCAGGGAUGGGAAUCGAACCCACAGUGUUCCGCUUACCGGGCAGAUGCCAUGUCCACUAUGUUACCCUGGA